UUUUCAUUCACUCAAAUACCUAGUGAAAGUGUUAAAAGCCAGUUUUUUUUAUUAUUUGAUUUGAUUUUUUUACAUAAAGUAAAAAUGGACAAUGGUCUUUCUCUUUGUUGUGUUUUUGAAGUGCUGUCAUGCAAGACAUGUCUUCAAAUGUUUUAACCAAACUUUAGCACUGCAGUAUUUUUUAUGCAUGUCCUGCUGUGUCAUAUUUUCUAUUGAUAAAAUUACAAACCUGUCUUUAUAUUUUUCAUAGGUGUUUCCAUUUUCUCUUGUUUUAUUACUAUUCUGGAGUGAGUGAGCCUGCUGGGAAAGACUUAAAAAUACAAAGUUAAUAGUACAUUUUUAGUUGAAAUUCCUUGUGCUGUUGUUGUUAACAGGUACAGUUUAUUUGCUAAGUGUCCUGGGACAGGUGAGGAGUGAGUGAGUGUCCUGGGACAGGUGAGGAGUGAGUGAGUGUCCUGGGACAGGUGAGGAGUGAGUGAGUGAGUGUCCUGGGACAGGUGAGGAGUGAGUGAGUGUCCUGGGACAGGUGAGGAGUGAGUGAGUGAGUGUCCUGGGACAGGUGAGGAGUGAGUGAGUGAGUGUCCUGGGACAGGUGAGGAGUGAGUGAGUGUCCUGGGACAGGUGAGGAGUGAGUGAGUGAGUGUCCUGGGACAGGUGAGGAGUGAGUGGAGCUGUUCAGGGAGCACAUCAAACUCCAGAGAGAGAGAGAAGAGCACAAGUUU
Molecule: long non-coding RNA, 722 nt
Organism: Carassius gibelio (silver crucian carp)
Lineage: Eukaryota; Metazoa; Chordata; Actinopteri; Cypriniformes; Cyprinidae
Exons: 6
Source: RefSeq, a predicted model, not a curated record